GUGGUUGUGGCUCAGCGGUAGAGCACUCGCCUAGCAUGUGCAAGGCCCUGGGUUCGAUCUUCAGCACCACA
RNAcentral lists this transfer RNA (71 nucleotides) under Marmota monax (woodchuck). Lineage: Eukaryota; Metazoa; Chordata; Mammalia; Rodentia; Sciuridae. The record is from Rfam by way of RNAcentral.